RNAcentral lists this ribosomal RNA (200 nucleotides) under uncultured Glomus. Its description in RNAcentral is "partial small subunit ribosomal RNA". It matches the Rfam family "Eukaryotic small subunit ribosomal RNA", at positions 591 to 796 of the family's 1831-position model. Lineage: Eukaryota; Fungi; Glomeromycota; Glomeromycetes; Glomerales; Glomeraceae. The record is from RNAcentral.
CCAAUAGCGUAUAUUAAAGUUGUUGCAGUUAAAAAGCUCGUAGUUGAAUUUCGGGGUUAGUAGGUUGGUCAUGCCUCUGGUACGUACUGGUCUCACUGAUUCCUCCUUCCUGAUGAACCUUAAUGCCAUUAAUUUGGUGUUUUGGGGAAUUUGGACUGUUACUUUGAAAAAAUUAGAGUGUUUAAAGCAAGCUAACGCUU